Molecule: long non-coding RNA, 914 nt
Organism: Pristis pectinata (smalltooth sawfish)
Lineage: Eukaryota; Metazoa; Chordata; Chondrichthyes; Rhinopristiformes; Pristidae
Exons: 3
Source: RefSeq, a predicted model, not a curated record
CAGCACUUCACAAAAACGAUAAGCAUUGUUGAGGAAUUCGACAACAUCAAUGACCACUGGCUGCCUUUAAGCCUGAAUUCAGUUACCACAGGGGUCUGAGCAAAUGAUUUACAGAACCGAGAAACAAAGGACUGUAGAUGCUGGAAUCCAGAUGAAAAACACUCUGAUGCUGGAGGAACUCAGCAGGCCAGGCAGCAUCCGUGGAGAAAAGCAGGCGGUCAACGUUUCGGGUCAGGACCCUUCUUCAGGACUGAAGUUUACACACUAGGGGCGAUUUACAAUGGCCUAUUAACCUACCAACCCGCAUAUUAUUGGAGACACAGGAGACUGCAGACGCUGGAAUCUGGAGCAACAAACAAUCUGCUGGAGGAACUCAGCGGGUCGAGCAGCAUCUGUGGGGGGAAAGGAACUGUCGACAUUUCAGGUCAAAACCCUGCAUCAGGACAACACCGGCACCCUGGACACUUGACAGAGACACAAGAAAUUCUGCAGAUGCUGGAAUCUAGAAAAAUACAUAAAAGGUGCUGGAGGAACUCAGCAGGUCAGGCAGCAUCUAUAGAGGGAAAUAAACAGUCAACGUUUCCGGCCGAGACCCUUCAUCUCAUCUGCCUUUACCAAUGAUCAGGACCCUUUCUGAUCUACAUAUUCUGGCUUUUAUUUCUCUUAUAGCCAGGAGGGCUAUGUUGCUUAAAUGGGAGGAAGUCACUCCGCCUACUCAUGCUCAAUGGUUACGGGAUGUUAUGUCAUACCUGAAUUUAGAGAUGAUCCGCUGUUCAAUUUCUGAAUCUAACUUAGACUUUCAAACAUUGUGGGGACCUUUUUUCUUUCUUUUUCAAUCCUUUUAUUAAUUUUCAAAUUAAUACAGAAUAAUACAUAUAACAUCGGUAAUUAUACACAGAAUACAAAGAGAUCGG